Molecule: ribosomal RNA, 252 nt
Filed under: Salmonella enterica subsp. enterica serovar Heidelberg
Lineage: Bacteria; Pseudomonadati; Pseudomonadota; Gammaproteobacteria; Enterobacterales; Enterobacteriaceae
Description: partial 23S ribosomal RNA
Rfam family: Bacterial large subunit ribosomal RNA
Source: RNAcentral
CUUUAACACUGAGGCGUGACGACGAGGCACUACGGUGCUGAAGCAACAAAUGCCCUGCUUCCAGGAAAAGCCUCUAAGCAUCAGGUAACAUCAAAUCGUACCCCAAACCGACACAGGUGGUCAGGUAGAGAAUACCAAGGCGCUUGAGAGAACUCGGGUGAAGGAACUAGGCAAAAUGGUGCCGUAACUUCGGGAGAAGGCACGCUGACACGUAGGUGAAGUGAUUUACUCAUGGAGCUGAAGUCAGUCGAA